RNAcentral lists this ribosomal RNA (208 nucleotides) under uncultured bacterium. RNAcentral's name for it is "partial 16S ribosomal RNA". It matches the Rfam family "Bacterial small subunit ribosomal RNA", at positions 1293 to 1500 of the family's 1533-position model. The record is from RNAcentral.
UCAGAUUGCAGUCUGCAACUCGACUGCGUGAAGUCGGAAUCGCUAGUAAUCGCGGAUCAGCAUGCCGCGGUGAAUACGUUCCCGGGCCUUGUACACACCGCCCGUCACACCAUGGGAGUUGGGAAUGCCCGAAGUCAGUGACCCAACCGCAAGGAGGGAGCUGCCGAAGGCAGGCUUGAUAACUGGGGUGAAGUCGUAACAAGGUACC